RNAcentral lists this ribosomal RNA (442 nucleotides) under uncultured bacterium. RNAcentral's name for it is "partial 16S ribosomal RNA". It matches the Rfam family "Bacterial small subunit ribosomal RNA", at positions 338 to 795 of the family's 1533-position model. The record is from RNAcentral.
CCUACGGGAGGCAGCAGUGGGGAAUAUUGGGCAAUGGGCGCAAGCCUGACCCAGCAACGCCGCGUGAAGGAAGAAGGCUUUCGGGUUGUAAACUUCUUUUCUCAGGGACGAAGCAAGUGACGGUACCUGAGGAAUAAGCCACUGCAAACUACGUGCCAGCAGCCGCGGUAAUACGUAGGUGGCAAGCGUUAUCCGGAUUUACGGGGGGAAAAGGGCGUGAGGGCGGGACUGAAAGGCAGAUGUAAAAACACGGGCUCAACCUGUGGCCUGCAUUUGAAACUGUAGUUCUUGAGUACUGGAGAGGCAGACGGAAUUCCUAGUGUAGCGGUGAAAUGCGUAGAUAUUAGGAGGAACACCAGUGGCGAAGGCGGUCUGCUGGACAGCAACUGACGCUGAGGCGCGAAAGCGUGGGGAGCAAACAGGAUUAGAUACCCGGGUAGUC